Molecule: ribosomal RNA, 254 nt
Filed under: uncultured bacterium
Lineage: Bacteria
Description: partial 16S ribosomal RNA
Rfam family: Bacterial small subunit ribosomal RNA
Source: RNAcentral
GACGAACCGUGCGAACGUUAUUCGGAAUCACUGGGCUUAAAGCGCGUGUAGGCGGGAGGGCACGUCCGUCGCUGAAAUCCCCCGGCUCAACCGGGGAACGGGCGCGGAUACGACCUUCCUGGAGGGGCGUAGGGGGACCUGGAACUUCCGGUGGAGCGGUGAAAUGCGUUGAGAUCGGAAGGAACGCCCGUGGCGAAAGCGAGGUCCUGGACGCCUACUGACGCUGAGACGCGAAAGCCAGGGGAGCGAACAGG